GACGAACGCUGGCGGCGUGCUUAACACAUGCAAGUCGAACGGAAAGGCCCUGCUUUUGUGGGGUGCUCGAGUGGCGAACGGGUGUGUAACACGUGAGUAACCUGCCCUUGUCUUUGGGAUAACUUCAGGAAACUGGGGCUAAUACCGGAUAGGAGCUCCUGCUGCAUGGUGGGGGUUGGAAAGUUUCGGCGGUUGGGGAUGGACUCGCGGCUUAUCAGCUUGUUGGUGGGGUAGUGGCUUACCAAGGCUUUGACGGGUAGCCGGCCUGAGAGGGUGACCGGCCACAGUGGGACUGAGAGACGGCCCAGACUCCUACGGGAGGCAGCAGUGGGGAAUAUUGCACAAGGGGCGGAAGCCUGAUGCAGCAACGCCGCGUGCGGGAUGACGGCCUUCGGGUUGUAAACCGCUUUCGCCUGUGACGAAGCGUGAGUGACGGUAAUGGGUAAAGAAGCACCGGCUAACUACGUG
Molecule: ribosomal RNA, 468 nt
Filed under: uncultured bacterium
Lineage: Bacteria
Description: partial 16S ribosomal RNA
Rfam family: Bacterial small subunit ribosomal RNA
Source: RNAcentral